Molecule: unclassified non-coding RNA, 113 nt
Organism: Chlorocebus sabaeus (green monkey)
Lineage: Eukaryota; Metazoa; Chordata; Mammalia; Primates; Cercopithecidae
Rfam family: Y RNA
About the family: Y RNAs are components of the Ro ribonucleoprotein particle (Ro RNP), in association with Ro60 and La proteins.
Source: Ensembl
GGCUGGUCUGAAGGUAGGGAAUUAUCUGAAUUGAUUGUUCACAGUUAGUUACAGAUUGAAUUCCCUGUUCUACUCUUUCCCCUCUUCUUAAUAGGGCACUUGAUUAGUCUUUA